ACUCCUACGGGAGGCAGCAGUGGGGAAUAUUGCACAAUGGGGGAAACCCGUGAUGCAGCCAUGCCGCGUGUGUGAAGAAGGCCUUCGGGUUGUAAAGCACUUUCAGUAGGGGGAAGGGAGUAGUGUAGUUAACACCUGCAUUAUUUGACGUUACCUACAGAAGAAGCACCGGCUAACUCCGUGCCAGCAGCCGCGGUAAUACGGAGGGUGCGAGCGUUAAUCGGAAUUACUGGGCGUAAAGCGCAUGCAGGCGGCCCUGUUAAGUCAGAUGUGAAAGCCCGGGGCUUAACCUCGG
This 295-nucleotide ribosomal RNA is filed under the name uncultured bacterium. Its description in RNAcentral is "partial 16S ribosomal RNA". It matches the Rfam family "Bacterial small subunit ribosomal RNA", at positions 335 to 618 of the family's 1533-position model. The record is from RNAcentral.